GCUCUGUUACAUUCUGAUGAUGUAUUCAAAAGAUGGGCUUUAGGAUAAUCUCCUAAAUCACUGUAGCGAUGUAUCUUAGACUUUUCAACAAGUAUCAGGAUCGGUGUCACUUUUGAAAGGAGGAAUUUUAUAAGGUUACAAUUAUAUAAGGAAACUUGAAAAAAAUUUCCAGUUCAUCUGUCAGAAGAUGACUUUCAUGUACUUAAGUAGUGCAUUAAAGUUUUGUACUAUAUCAUGCAUUGGUCUGAGUACUGCUUUUUUAAAAAUAAUUUUACUUAUUUAUUAGCUUUUUGAUGUAUUGGCUGUGCUGGGUCUUUGUUGCUGUGUGGGCUUUUCUCUAGUUGCAGCAAGCAGGGGCUACUCUGUAAUUUUGAUGUGUGGCUUCUCUUGCUGCUGAGUACAGGCUCUAGGGUGCACAGGUUUCAGAAGUUUCAGAGCAAAGGCUCAGUAGUUGCAGUUCCUGGGCUCCAGAGGACAGGCUCAAUAGUUGUAGCGCACAGGCUUAGUUGUUCCGUGGCACGUGGAAUCUUCCCUGAUCAAGGAUUGAACCUGUGUCUCCUGCAUUAAGAGGCAGAUUCUUUACCACUGAGCCACCCAAGGAAGUUCUGAGUACUGCUUUUAAUAGAGUAUUUUCUUUUUUACUGUAAGCCAGAUGAAAGCAAAUGGGGAAACAUCUAGGCUACAGAAACGUCAGUCUCACUUAUACACACUUUCAUGUCAUCUUAAAGGAUUGUACGGCUGUCUCCAGAGAAGGUGAUAAAACUGAGAAAAAGAAGUUAAAAAUCUUGCCCAAAUUUGCACAGCUAACAAAUUGUUGAUAUUGGCUUGAACUUGAGUGGUCUGACCCCUGAGUCUGCACUCCUGACCACAAUUCUGGACUUCCUCCUACUUUGCCAACAUAGAAUAUAGAAAGAUCAUGUGAACAUUAUGUUGAAUUUCCCUCUCUGGCUCCACUUUUCAUCCUUUUCCAUCCAGCCUUGUAAAGUGGGAAGAUUAUGGAAUGGACUAUAUUAACAGGUUCCUUGAUCCUCCAGCUACUGGCUGGGUUUUGUCAACAGGGAAUGCUUUGCAGAAGACUGAAGGGAGGGAGAUGGUGAUGGCACAGGGUUUAUUUCUCUCCCUGCUGAGAGGCUAAGGGCUGUGUCAUUCUGAAGAAGGAUUCUGUUCCUUUCACGGGGGCUUCUAUGAGAUGCUUUCCUUCCAUUUUCCGGUAACCAUCUCAUCUCUUUGGGCCUAGGGAUGGCUAACAACUGUGCCAUCUUGUGAUUCUCCUAUCCAACCACAGUUAAAUUGCCCCUUUGUAAAUCAGCUCUCUCAAACAUCCCAUUUUAAGUGUCCUAGUUAGAAUCCAAACUGAUGCAAGGUGUGAUCUCUGUUUUUAAAAAGCUGACAUAGAGUACUUGGGGCAUAUACCUCAGGAACAGGAAAGCUGAAGACUGUAUAAAAAGAGAUCAUCUGUAGGAGUAAGGUUGAUGGUUACAAACUAAGGUGUUUUAAGUUGCAUAUUCCUGGCCACCUGCAUCUUAUUCUCCAUUCUUAUUUUCCUCUUUAGCUGUAGAGAUGUCUGUAAAGCAUGCUGCAUGGCGAUCAAGAUGCGCUCUGAAGUUUUGCAAUCUCCGUGUCAGAAGUAAUUAUAGCAAAGUAAUUCUCACACUGGUUUUCAGAGCAAUUUACAGAGCUUGUGACACGCAUGGACAUUGAAUCAUAGAGCAUUUUAUAGACAACUCUUUAUUUGGAACAGAUUCACGAGGUCAUUAGAUAGGACCUCUCUAGAAACAGAAACACAAAAUAGAAGCUGAGACAGACUUGAGUCAGAAUGUUUUAUGGACUUAUCUUCUGCUCAAGAUAACAUAAAGCUAUAAUAAUACAGUUCCUUCCCUGCUUUCUCAGUCCUCUAAUGUUGAGACCUUUCUCAUUAACUACUGAACUCUUACAAGUCUGAGCAGAACAGAUGUUUGAGGACUUGCAACUUCUGAGACGUCAAUAGCCAAACACCACAAGUCAUGACCUGGUCACUCUUCCACUCCCUUGAGGCAUCUGCCUUUUUCUGUUGUACCCAACAGAUUGACGGUGAUAAUAUACAAAAGUUUUAUCUCUCCCUCCCUCUCUCUCUCUCUCCAUAUAUAUAUAUAUAUAUAUUUUUUUUUUUUUCUUCGAAAUUUGAGGCAAGGACACAGCCUUUAAUUCUCUGCUCUAACAGCUGAGUUCUGACUCACAUAGGAAAGGGUUGGAGGAGGAGGUGGAGAGUAAGAGAUUCUAGAAAGUCACUUGCACAAAUAAGGAAAAAGCCAUCAGAUCAUCUCUUAAAGCUAAUGCUGCAUCUGCUAGUUCUGUCUAUAGUUGCUUCUUAACUAUAUUCAGAUCUGUGCUUUCUAUAAAAUGCAAAUAAAUUCUGUAAUAC
Bos taurus (domestic cattle) is the source of this 2401-nucleotide long non-coding RNA. Lineage: Eukaryota; Metazoa; Chordata; Mammalia; Artiodactyla; Bovidae. The record is from Ensembl.